AUGGAAUAGAGUUCAUCUCCAAAGAGAGAAAAAAAAUUAAAAGAUAGUUUUAUCUCAAUGGGUUUCAAGAGAGGGUCAAUCUUUUUAAGCUUUAUGCUUCUUCUCCUUUUUCAUAUGGCAACAGGAAGACUCAUCCAAAACACUUUACCUUAUGCAGAUUUUGAGAAGAUUGAUAUGAGUGAGAUCAAGAAUAUGGUGGGAAGUAAAUUCUUGAACUCCGCUCGGCCUAGAGGUGGCAACUAUAUUAACAACCCGGAGGCGACGAAGAAGGCCGCCAUCCGAGGCGCUAGCUACCGGCCAUAACGGCUUAGAAAACUAGAUAUGAUGUAAUAUCCACCGCCUUAGAGGAAAUUAUUAUUAGUGUUAAGAAUGUGUUACCGAUCAAGUUGUGUGGGGGAAGAAUUAUGAAUAAAUUAGGGUUUGGAAGUUAAAUUGUUGAGUUUCUAUUGUGAAAGUGUCUGUAAAAGAGUGUUUUGAUGGUACGUUUUCUAGCAAUCGAAGUGUAUGUUUCUUAAUGUGGUGAAGAUUUUGGAGUGUUGAAAUAAGACAAGUUUUGAUUAUGGCUUUGUGUGAGAGAGAAAAAUAAAUUUGAGUAAUGUUAUU
Molecule: long non-coding RNA, 603 nt
Organism: Benincasa hispida (wax gourd)
Lineage: Eukaryota; Viridiplantae; Streptophyta; Magnoliopsida; Cucurbitales; Cucurbitaceae
Source: RefSeq, a predicted model, not a curated record